This is a small nucleolar RNA of Argentina anserina (silverweed cinquefoil), 92 nucleotides long. RefSeq annotates it as small nucleolar RNA Z266. The transcript has a single exon. Lineage: Eukaryota; Viridiplantae; Streptophyta; Magnoliopsida; Rosales; Rosaceae. The record is from RefSeq and is a predicted model, not a curated record.
GGCAAGUGUGAUGAAUCAAUUAGAUGUACGAAAAGGGAAACCUUUUUUGUGAACUUACUUUGUUGAGGCAUAAUUUUUCUGACUUACGCGCC